This 497-nucleotide ribosomal RNA is filed under the name uncultured bacterium. RNAcentral's name for it is "partial 16S ribosomal RNA". It matches the Rfam family "Bacterial small subunit ribosomal RNA", at positions 28 to 507 of the family's 1533-position model. The record is from RNAcentral.
GAUGAACGCUGGCGGCGUGCCUAAUACAUGCAAGUCGAGCGAACGGACGAGAAGCUUGCUUCUCUGAUGUUAGCGGCGGACGGGUGAGUAACACGUGUAUAACCUACCUUUAAGACUGGGACAACUUCGGGAAACCGGAGCUAAUACCGGAUGAUAUUUUGAACCGCAUGGUUCAAAAGUGAAAGACGUUCUUGCUGUCACUUAUAGAUGGUUCCGCGCUGCAGUAGCUAGUUGGUAAGGUAACGGCUUACCAAGGCAACGAUGCAUAGCGGACUUGAGAGGGUGAUAGGCAAAACUGGAACUGAGACACGGUCCAGACUCCAACGGAAGGAAGCAGGAGGGAAUCUUCGGAAUUGGCCGAAAGCCUGAAGAAGAAAGGCGGCGUGAGUGAUAAAGGUCUUCGGAUAGUAAACCUCUGUUAUUAGGGAAGAAAAUAUGUGUAAGUACAUGUGCAGAUAUUGACGGUACCUAAUCAGAAAGCCACGGCUAACUACGUG